CUCAGAAUCAACGCGGGCGGCGCGCCUAGCACAUGCAAGUCGAACGAGAAAGCCGGGGCAACCUGGUGAGUACAGUGGCGUACGGGUGAGUAACACGUGGGUAAUCUACCUCUUAGUGUGGAAUAACCCUGGGAAACCGGGGCUAAUACCGCAUAAGCUCGAGAGAGGAAAGCAGCAAUGCGCUGAGAGAGGAGCCCGCGGCCGAUUAGCUAGUUGGUGAGGGUAAAGGCCCACCAAGGCAGAGAUCGGUAGCCGGCCUGAGAGGGCACACGGCCACACUGGCACUGAAACACGGGCCAGACUCCUACGGGAGGCAGCAGUGGGGAAUCUUGCACAAUGGGGGAAACCCUGAUGCAGCGACGCCGCGUGAGCGAUGAAGCCCUUCGGGGUGUAAAGCUCUUUCGGCAGGGAAGAUGAUGACGGUACCUGCAGAAGCAGCUGCGGCUAACUACGUGCCAGCAGCCGCGGUAAUACGUAGGCAGCAAGCGUUGUUCGGAGUUACUGGGCGUAAAGGGUGCGUAGGCGGUUGUUUAAGUUUGGUGUGAAAUCUCCCGGCUCAACUGGGAGGGUGCGCCGAAUACUGAAUGACUAGAGUGCGGGAGAGGAGAGUGGAAUUCCUGGUGUAGCGGUGAAAUGCGUAGAUAUCAGGAGGAACACCGGCGGUGUAGACGGCUCUCUGGACCGCAACUGACGCUGAGGCACGAAAGCGUGGGUAGCAAACAGGAUUAGAUACCCUGGUAGUCCACGCCCUAAACGAUGCAUAUUUGGUGUGGGUCAUUCAGUUGAUCCGUGCCGGAGCUAACGCGUUAAAUAUGCCGCCUGGGGAGUACAGUCGCAAGGCUGAAACUUAAA
This 852-nucleotide ribosomal RNA is filed under the name uncultured bacterium. RNAcentral describes it as "bacterial SSU rRNA". It matches the Rfam family "Bacterial small subunit ribosomal RNA", at positions 23 to 905 of the family's 1533-position model. The record is from RNAcentral.